Molecule: ribosomal RNA, 508 nt
Filed under: marine sediment bacterium BB0608_AND_1.2_2S0
Lineage: Bacteria
Description: bacterial SSU rRNA
Rfam family: Bacterial small subunit ribosomal RNA
Source: RNAcentral
GGUGCUUGCACCCCGCUGACGAGCGGCGGACGGGUGAGUAAUGCAUAGGAAACUGCCCAGUAGUGGGGGAUAGCCCGGGGAAACCCGGAUUAAUACCGCGUACGCCCUUCGGGGGAAAGCAGGGGAUCUUCGGACCUUGCGCUAUUGGAUGUGCCUAUGUCGGAUUAGCUAGUUGGUGGGGUAAAGGCCUACCAAGGCGACGAUCCGUAGCUGGUCUGAGAGGAUGAUCAGCCACAUCGGGACUGAGACACGGCCCGAACUCCUACGGGAGGCAGCAGUGGGGAAUAUUGGACAAUGGGGGCAACCCUGAUCCAGCCAUGCCGCGUGUGUGAAGAAGGCUUUCGGGUUGUAAAGCACUUUCAGUGAGGAGGAAAAGCUGGUCGUUAAUACCGGCCAGCCUUGACGUUACUCACAGAAGAAGCACCGGCUAACUCCGUGCCAGCAGCCGCGGUAAUACGGAGGGUGCAAGCGUUAAUCGGAAUUACUGGGCGUAAAGCGCGCGUAGGUG